CCAGCAAACUGCCUUCUAGAUGAAGCCUAGCUCAGGCUCUGCUAGUGAACCUGACAUAAGCCAUCAGUUAUUCCUACAAGUUCUCAAAGUGAAUCAUUGUAGGUGCCCCCAAAGCAAUAAGGUACAGUCACCACCUGCUGCUCCUGGGUCUGCUUCUCUGAGAACAUCAGUCUCCACACUAAGGAUGACAUCACCAGCCAACACUCCUGCCUGAAAUUGGAAAGCUGAGAGAGGGUCAUCUCAGCCAAGGACUCAGUGGGGUAGAAGGAAAAUUCUUUCCCCUUCCCUACAGAAUCACUGCAGAAGAAAGGAAAGCAAGGAGGAAAGAAAGAGCUAGCUACCCAAAGCCAGUGUCAUCUCUGAUCAAGCCCUGUGGAUGAGAGACUGAGAAUAAAUACCACGUGAUGUCAUAAUCUCUUCGAGCAGAAAGUCCACCAGGAAGCAUCUUGGAGUGACACCAAAGUCCUCUGUGACACAGAGGCCACAACUUCUCUAAAAGGACUCGGGAAAGGUAGAAGACUUGUUAGGCCAGAAAGCACAUACAAAGCUGAUUAUUUCCUCUCCAAUUUCUUGAAAGAUUGAUAUUGGCUCACCAAAGCCAAUUAACAAUGAUGCUGUAAGUGUUAAAAUAACAACAACAAUAAUAAACAACUUGUUUU
RNAcentral lists this long non-coding RNA (659 nucleotides) under Mustela putorius furo (domestic ferret). Its description in RNAcentral is "lncRNA (ENSMPUG00000030098.1)". Lineage: Eukaryota; Metazoa; Chordata; Mammalia; Carnivora; Mustelidae. The record is from RNAcentral.